RNAcentral lists this ribosomal RNA (328 nucleotides) under uncultured eukaryote. RNAcentral describes it as "partial 18S ribosomal RNA". It matches the Rfam family "Eukaryotic small subunit ribosomal RNA", at positions 1470 to 1796 of the family's 1831-position model. The record is from RNAcentral.
CCCUUAGAUGUUCUGGGCCGCACGCGCGCUACACUGAUGCAUUCAACGAGCACCCGCUGGGCCGAGAGGUCCGGCUAAUCUUUGAACGUGCAUCGUGCUAGGGAUUGAGGUUUGCAAUUAUCCUUCAUGAACGAGGAAUUCCCAGUAAGUGCAAGUCAUAAGCUUGCGCUGACUACGUCCCUGCCCUUUGUACACACCGCCCGUCGCUACUACCGAUUGAAUGAUUUAGUGAGGACUUCGGACUGGGACCGAUGCGGCUUUCGGGCUGCGUCGGUAUUCUGGAAAGAUGUCCAAACUGUAUCAUUUAGAGGAAGUAAAAGUCGUAACA